UCUAAUUGGCUGGAACAUCUGUUGAAAUUGUGUUUCUGUAAAGAAAGAAAAAACUACCAUCUUCGGAGAUCUCUGGCUAGCUUUUAAGGCACCUAAAUCUCAGUCUUAAGUGAAGCGGACAGAGAAAAAAAGAAUGAAGCAUCUACUAGCAGCCAUUCCGUGGCUUCAGCUAGACCGUGAGUUGAGGGUUAUUGGAAAGGGAAUUGUCACACAAUGUUCAGGGGUGGAGACAAGGCUCAGUGUGACUCCUGUGAGGUUCCCAGUGGGCAACUGGAUUCCAGGGACAACCAGUGAACUCCUCCUUGUGAAAUGUUCGCUUUGGACAGGGUUAAAUGGAGAGGUGAGAGUGGAGCAAAGCCCUCCGGCCCUGAGCCCCCAGGAGGGAGAAAACUGUACCAUCUACUGCAAUUAUUCAGGAACGACUACAGCUCGACUGUACUGGUACAGACAGGAGCUGGGGAAAAGCCUGGGACACCUGUUUUCGUUGGUGUCAAACGGAAUAGUGAAGCAGGAGGGACUAUUCACAGCCUGUCUUGACACCAAAGCCUGUCGCAGCGCCCUGCACAUCACGGCCACCCAGGGUGGCCUCUCUGCCUGCUACAUCUGCCCGGUGGACGGACAGCGCUCCCCCGAGGCUUUCAGUCCGUACCCAAAGCUGCAGCCUCGGCCCCCGCCCCCGCUGCUGCGGGACUACAGUCGGAGGCUUAGUGCAUCGUCUCUGCCUCUCUUCCUGCAAGGAAAUUCUGAAAUGAAUGAGAAAAGAUGGUGUUUUUAACCUUUAUUUUCUUCACUAUGGAAAUUUUCUUUAAAGGUAAAUGGAUUCGGGGGGAAAAUGUCCUAAACAUGUCUUUCCUGAGAAUAUGAGCUCUCAUCUUUUACUGCCUCAUAGUCAAAAUCCAUUAGUCUUCCAUUACAGAAUGAUUUUACAUUUAGCACAACUGUCACAAAUAAUUCCUAUGAAAUACAGAGCCAUUAUUUGUUUAUAUGUGAGUGUAGCCUAUAGCAUUUACCAAUGGAGGGGAAAAAAGAAUAAAUGCUUUAUAAAAGAAUAUUCUGUGAGAGGCUCCUUACCUAGUUUUUCCUGCUAAAUUAUUGACUGCACUGGUCAAGUGAUGUCCGUGAGAUCUAGGUAUCAAGUUAUCACAAUGUGUAGAGAGAUUCUUGUUGUAGGACUUUAAAAAAUAAAUAAAUAAAAGGCUAAUUGAAAAAACCUGAACCCACACUGUUGCAUGAAAGUAUUAUGCAUAUACCUGGUCUACAAACCCAGGAUACAAAUGCUUUCACGUCUCUCAUUUUUCCAAGUAGUUUUUAGAGCGAAAACCGGCCAAAUAAGCAGGGAGUUCCUUAUCUCCUUCUUGGGCCCUUGCCCGCACCCACCCCUGACCUGUCUAAGAAGCGGGGAGAGGUGGGCAGCUUGGAAAGGAUUCGUCAAGCUUCCACGCCAAGCAGUGGACCCCAGUUGACUCCUGCCUUGUUUCUUGCUGAUACACAUUCUCCCUCAGGGUCUGAGAGAGAGUGCUGGACCAUGCUGAUCCUGCCCCUGGAGGGUGACCCCACUCUUUCAGUGUCAGCUUGGCCAAUGGUGCCUCAUGCCUGGGCUCAAGAUUGCAGAACUCUGUACUCAUCUCCCUCAUGGACACAUGGCCACCGCUUGAGACCCCAACAACCAAAGAAUUCUGGGUUCAGAGUGGUUCUGGCCUUCAUAUUGUGGGGACAAAACAGCAUCCCCUUUUGUGGCUCUUCCUAAGCGAUAAAUAUCUUUUGUUUUGCAUGUCUCAGACCCAAAGGGUCUGAUUACACUCACUUUCUCUAGAGUGACAGUAGGGUUAUAUGCCAACCCUCUUAAGGACGAAUACUCUUAGCAACCCCUUAGGAUCCUGCAGCUCCUUUCUAACCCUGGCCACCUUCAAUGACUCGAGGGUAUUUAUCCCUCAAAUGAGACUCCCUAAGGUGACUUUUUCCUGUUUUCCAAGUGAGGUCACCCAUAAUGAUUCCACAGUGUCAACACUUCCUUUUCUAAGGGAUGCUGGCCACAGUGAAUAUACAAUGGUUUUCUGGGAUUUUCUUACUGAAUAAUAAAACUAACCCAAACUUUAUCACUGAGAGGCACCUUGCCACAUGAUUUUCUGAAACAAGUAAAUUAAGCACAAUUUAAUACAAUGAAAUGAAAUUACAUAUUAAGUUCUAAUCUCCCCGCUAAGGCAUUGGGGAAUACCCUUAGUUUAAUGGCAAAUAAAGUAGUAUCUACUUUGAUGUAAUGUAGGUUUAUCUUCUUCUAGGUCCUGCUGUGCCUCUACUUGCCCUGUAAUACUCUUUUCCCUAAACAGUUUACAAUGAGUGGUCACCUCCUAGUUCAAGGACCCUUAUGAAACUCCAAAAUGUUUCUGAUGUUUGCUUACACACUUUCUCAAAAGUCAUAACAUCAAUUCUUUAUUGUUUUGAGGCUUUGCUUUCCUCUAAUUGCUCUGCAAAAUAUCCAUGCCUGCAUUUCUUACUGCCCAGGAGCAGUGGCACUGUUCCACAUCUCUGCUUCUUCCUCUGUCAGCACAGACUGUGUCCUCAGUCUGGCGGUUUAUUUGCUCCUCUCUUCUCUGUUGUGGUAAUGCUUGUUAGUGGGCUGGGUUACUUACUAAUCGAAAUCCACACUCAAAUCAGAUCCCUCCACUGCGCAGAAUCAUAAAUCCCAUGAGACUUUUGUGAACAUCAGGAAAAUCCUGACAGGCCACAAAAGGUCAAGGGGUUUAUUUCUUGGCCAUUGCAUAUGCAAUAGUGUUUAUAUCUGUAACCUGCAAUCCUUUUUCUUCAUCAUUCCAAAAUAUAUAACGAGCAAUGUAUAGUGACAAAUAGUAAAAGUAUAGAUUUAUUUACAUUGUACAUUUAAUUUGAAAUCAGCACUUUGGAUAGAAAUGUUAAGAUGGAGUGUCCAACACAGCAGGACUACUUGGUCAAAAGGCAUCAGUUCUUCCAUCUUUCUGUUCUUUCCUUAUAUUUUCUCAUUUAAACUUCAUAGCAAAAGGGCAUGAUUCCCUCUUGUGAAUGAAAGUCUCCACCUGGUUAGUCAAUAGAGAGUAGUGGACCCAGCUUACUGACUGGGUAAAUAGGACAAAAUAUGCUACAAGAGAAGGAACUUUUGACUAAAAACUUCCCUUGUCUCCCCAAAUUCAUAGCUGUGGAAGUCUCAUAAAUGAUAUUUCAACUGUGCUGUGAGUUGCAAAGAUACAGGGGUCAGUCCCAUUCAGCUCAAGAAUCUUACAGAUACCGUGAAGAAAGAAAUAAGGAUGGGGUCAACAACUGAGCAGCUUUCUCAGUCCCAGGAAUGAAUUUGGAAAAUAAGAUGCUACCAGUCAACAAAACUGUGCUAAAAAGAAAGUCAAAUACCAUAUGAUCUCACUCAUAAGUAGAAGAUAAAAAUGACCAAAA
Non-coding RNA from Equus caballus (horse), 3420 nucleotides. Lineage: Eukaryota; Metazoa; Chordata; Mammalia; Perissodactyla; Equidae. The record is from RefSeq and is a predicted model, not a curated record.